UACGAGAGGCCCAAACGUUAUUCGGAAUUACUGGGCGUAAAGCGCACGUAGGCGGAUUUGUAAGUCAGGGGUGAAAUCCCGGGGCUCAACCUCGGAACCGCCUUUGAUACUGCAAAUCUCGAGUCCGGAAGAGGUGAGUGGAAUUCCUAGUGUAGAGGUGAAAUUCGUAGAUAUUAGGAAGAACACCAGUGGCGAAGGCGGCUCACUGGUCCGGUACUGACGCUGAGGUGCGAAAGCGUGGGGAGCAAACAGG
Molecule: ribosomal RNA, 253 nt
Filed under: uncultured bacterium
Lineage: Bacteria
Description: partial 16S ribosomal RNA
Rfam family: Bacterial small subunit ribosomal RNA
Source: RNAcentral